CGAGCACGGGGUCGGGUGGCUCCUUGGCCGUCACUCGUCGCGCAACCGCACAGACCCCGCCAAUUCGGAUCCUAGCUAUGGCGCCGUUUCCCCGGUUAUUUUCCCCGACUUUACGCCCAAGCUCCGUCUGCUUUUCGCGCCUAGGUGUAUACAGCAUGUACAGCAGAGUUGCGUCAACUUUCACCCUUCACUCACACCAAGAACAAUGGAUCAGUUAUUGACUUUCUCGUAGUGUCCUUCCGGAAGCGAUACGGUUUAACGAAUUACAUAAUGAUAAUAAGGAAUAUCAUUCACCCAAGCAUAAAACACACCAAAAUACCUAAUGUCCAUGAGGGGAGCUCGGCCGAUUCGCUAACGUGUGUCAGCUGGUGCUGACUCGGCUAAGCUUAGUCCUUCCUCGCCGUGGUGCCCAGCCACAGCAGUAACCUCCAGGUGACAAUUGCAACUUCUCGCGCAUGGGCGGGGCGUAAACCACCGACCCCUCGGAUGAGAGGCCGACACGUUACCACUGUACUAGCCCAGAGGCU
This is a long non-coding RNA of Penaeus indicus, 527 nucleotides long. RefSeq lists it as uncharacterized. The transcript has 3 exons. Lineage: Eukaryota; Metazoa; Arthropoda; Malacostraca; Decapoda; Penaeidae. The record is from RefSeq and is a predicted model, not a curated record.